AGAACGAACGCUGGCGGCAGGCCUAACACAUGCAAGUCGAACGCCCCGCAAGGGGAGUGGCAGACGGGUGAGUAACGCGUGGGAACCUUCCCUAUGGUUCGGAAUAGCUCAGGGAAACCUGGGGUAAUACCGAAUAAGCCCUUCGGGGGAAAGAUUUAUCGCCAUUGGAUGGGCCCGCGUAGGAUUAGCUAGUUGGUGAGGUAACGGCUCACCAAGGCGACGAUCCUUAGCUGGUCUGAGAGGAUGAUCAGCCACACUGGGACUGAGACACGGCCCAGACUCCUACGGGAGGCAGCAGUGGGGAAUAUUGGACAAUGGGCGAAAGCCUGAUCCAGCCAUGCCGCGUGAGUGACGAAGGCCUUAGGGUUGUAAAGCUCUUUUGGCGGGGAAGAUAAUGACGGUACCGCAGAGUAAGCUCCGGCUAACGUCGUGCCAGCAGCCGC
This 443-nucleotide ribosomal RNA is filed under the name uncultured soil bacterium. RNAcentral describes it as "bacterial SSU rRNA". It matches the Rfam family "Bacterial small subunit ribosomal RNA", at positions 26 to 518 of the family's 1533-position model. The record is from RNAcentral.